UACAUUAGUGUUAGGUUCUGACAGAAAUGACAUGCAAUUAUGCUGCCGUUCUUGACUUUCAGGACUGAACUGGUGUGUG
This 79-nucleotide small nucleolar RNA is filed under the name Sorex araneus (European shrew). Its description in RNAcentral is "Small nucleolar RNA SNORA53 (ENSSARG00000018632.1)". It matches the Rfam family "Small nucleolar RNA SNORA53", at positions 162 to 242 of the family's 248-position model. Rfam says of the family: The snoRNA ACA53 belongs to the H/ACA family of pseudouridylation guide snoRNAs. The record is from RNAcentral. Lineage: Eukaryota; Metazoa; Chordata; Mammalia; Eulipotyphla; Soricidae.